AGAGUUUGAUCAUGGCUCAGAUUGAACGCUGGCGGCAGGCCUAACACAUGCAAGUCGAGCGGAAACGACACUAACAAUCCUUCGGGUGCGUUAAUGGGCGUCGAGCGGCGGACGGGUGAGUAAUGCCUAGGAAAUUGCCUUGAUGUGGGGGAUAACCAUUGGAAACGAUGGCUAAUACCGCAUAAUGCCUACGGGCCAAAGAGGGGGACCUUCGGGCCUCUCGCGUCAAGAUAUGCCUAGGUGGGAUUAGCUAGUUGGUGAGGUAAUGGCUCACCAAGGCGACGAUCCCUAGCUGGUCUGAGAGGAUGAUCAGCCACACUGGAACUGAGACACGGUCCAGACUCCUACGGGAGGCAGCAGUGGGGAAUAUUGCACAAUGGGCGAAAGCCUGAUGCAGCCAUGCCGCGUGUAUGAAGAAGGCCUUCGGGUUGUAAAGUACUUUCAGUUGUGAGGAAGGGGGUAGCGUUAAUAGCGCUAUCUCUUGACGUUAGCAACAGAAGAAGCACCGGCUAACUCCGUGCCAGCAGCCGCGGUAAUAC
RNAcentral lists this ribosomal RNA (539 nucleotides) under Vibrio crassostreae. RNAcentral's name for it is "bacterial SSU rRNA". It matches the Rfam family "Bacterial small subunit ribosomal RNA", at positions 8 to 526 of the family's 1533-position model. Lineage: Bacteria; Pseudomonadati; Pseudomonadota; Gammaproteobacteria; Vibrionales; Vibrionaceae. The record is from RNAcentral.